AUCUCGUUCAGUGUCUUCAAUACCAUCCGUUCUUUAAAAACCCCCAAAGUUAUUAUUCCGCUACAUCACAUGACACUAUGAUGACGUGACUACUGCAUAUAUGUACAUGUUACUGUAUUUUGGUAUAUAUAUACGAGCGUGCUCAUCAUGCACACACCAAAAUAAGGUACGCUCAUGAGCACACUCAUAUAUACCAAAAUUACUGUAUUUUGGUAUAUUAAUGAGCG
Molecule: non-coding RNA, 227 nt
Organism: Paramuricea clavata
Lineage: Eukaryota; Metazoa; Cnidaria; Anthozoa; Malacalcyonacea; Plexauridae
Source: the annotation of a GenBank genome assembly